CCUACGGGAGGCAGCAGUGAGGAAUAUUGGUCAAUGGACGAGAGUCUGAACCAGCCAAGUAGCGUGAAGGAUGACUGCCCUAUGGGUUGUAAACUUCUUUUAUAUGGGAAUAAAAUGUUCCACGUGUGGGAUUUUGUAUGUACCAUAUGAAUAAGGAUCGGCUAACUCCGUGCCAGCAGCCGCGGUAAUACGGAGGAUCCGAGCGUUAUCCGGAUUUAUUGGGUUUAAAGGGAGCGUAGGUGGAUGGUUAAGUCAGUUGUGAAAGUUUGCGGCUCAACCGUAAAAUUGCAGUUGAAACUGGCAGUCUUGAGUACAGUAGAGGUGGGCGGAAUUCGUGGUGUAGCGGUGAAAUGCGUAGAUAUCACGAAGAACUCCGAUUGCGAAGGCAGUUCACUGGACUGCAACUGACACUGAGGCUCGAAAGUGUGGGUAUCAAACAGGAUUAGAUACCCCGGUAGUC
RNAcentral lists this ribosomal RNA (460 nucleotides) under uncultured bacterium. RNAcentral describes it as "partial 16S ribosomal RNA". It matches the Rfam family "Bacterial small subunit ribosomal RNA", at positions 338 to 795 of the family's 1533-position model. The record is from RNAcentral.